Molecule: ribosomal RNA, 465 nt
Filed under: uncultured bacterium
Lineage: Bacteria
Description: bacterial SSU rRNA
Rfam family: Bacterial small subunit ribosomal RNA
Source: RNAcentral
AGAGUUUGAUUAUGGCUCAGAACGAACGCUGGCGGCAGGCCUAACACAUGCAAGUCGAGCGCGCCCUUCGGGGUGAGCGGCGGACGGGUUAGUAACGCGUGGGAACGUACCCUUUGGUAGGGAAUAGCCACUGGAAACGGUGAGUAAUACCCUAUGAGCCCUUCGGGGGAAAGAUUCAUCGCCAAAGGAUCGGCCCGCGUUAGAUUAGGUAGUUGGUGGGGUAAUGGCCUACCAAGCCUACGAUCUAUAGCUGGUUUUAGAGGAUGAUCAGCAACACUGGGACUGAGACACGGCCCAGACUCCUACGGGAGGCAGCAGUGGGGAAUCUUGGACAAUGGGGGCAACCCUGAUCCCAGCCAUGCCGCGUGAGUGAAGAAGGCCUUAGGGUCGUAAAGCUCUUUCGCCUGUGAAGAUAAUGACGGUAGCAGGUAAAGAAACCCCGGCUAACUCCGUGCCAGCCGCAGC